Molecule: ribosomal RNA, 465 nt
Filed under: Vreelandella stevensii
Lineage: Bacteria; Pseudomonadati; Pseudomonadota; Gammaproteobacteria; Oceanospirillales; Halomonadaceae
Description: partial 16S ribosomal RNA
Rfam family: Bacterial small subunit ribosomal RNA
Source: RNAcentral
CCUACGGGAGGCUGCAGUGGGGAAUAUUGGACAAUGGGGGGAACCCUGAUCCAGCCAUGCCGCGUGUGUGAAGAAGGCCCUCGGGUUGUAAAGCACUUUCAGUGAGGAAGAACGCCUGGUGGUUAAUACCCAUCAGGAAAGACAUCACUCACAGAAGAAGCACCGGCUAACUCCGUGCCAGCAGCCGCGGUAAUACGGAGGGUGCGAGCGUUAAUCGGAAUUACUGGGCGUAAAGCGCGCGUAGGUGGCUUGAUAAGCCGGUUGUGAAAGCCCCGGGCUCAACCUGGGAACGGCAUCCGGAACUGUCAAGCUAGAGUGCAGGAGAGGAAGGUAGAAUUCCCGGUGUAGCGGUGAAAUGCGUAGAGAUCGGGAGGAAUACCAGUGGCGAAGGCGGUCUUCUGGACUGACACUGACACUGAGGUGCGAAAGCGUGGGUAGCAAACAGGAUUAGAUACCCGUGUAGUC